CAGUUGUGGGGUUAGUAUUUGUUAACAGACCUGUAAGUGAUCCAUUGGCCUCUUAAGUUGUGCCUUCAACUCUCUUAAACCUAAAACAUAAAUAAUCUAAAACAUCUGUUAAGCACCUGCUCUAUUCCAGGAAUAGAAACGCAAGGAGAGAUGCUUGUCCUUUGGUGCAGAACACAGUUCACAGAGCAUAAAUGCUAUGAUAGAGAGGAGCCCUAGUAUGAGGGGGACCAGAGGGAA
This 237-nucleotide long non-coding RNA is filed under the name Bos taurus (domestic cattle). Its description in RNAcentral is "long non-coding RNA NONBTAT001784". Lineage: Eukaryota; Metazoa; Chordata; Mammalia; Artiodactyla; Bovidae. The record is from RNAcentral.